This 78-nucleotide transfer RNA is filed under the name Deltaproteobacteria bacterium. RNAcentral's name for it is "tRNA-Met". It matches the Rfam family "tRNA". From Rfam's summary of the family: Transfer RNA (tRNA) molecules are approximately 80 nucleotides in length. Their secondary structure includes four short double-helical elements and three loops (D, anti-codon, and T loops). Further hydrogen bonds mediate the characteristic L-shaped molecular structure. tRNAs have two regions of fundamental functional importance: the anti-codon, which is responsible for specific mRNA codon recognition, and the 3' end, to which the tRNAs corresponding amino acid is attached (by aminoacyl-tRNA synthetases). tRNAs cope with the degeneracy of the genetic code in two manners: having more than one tRNA (with a specific anti-codon) for a particular amino acid; and 'wobble' base-pairing, i.e. permitting non-standard base-pairing at the 3rd anti-codon position. Lineage: Bacteria; Pseudomonadati; Myxococcota; Myxococcia. The record is from RNAcentral.
GGCAGGGUAGCUCAGUUGGUAGAGCNNAGUGGACUCAUAAGCCAUUGGUCGGCGGUUCAAAUCCGCCCCCUGCCACAA